UACGUAGGGUGCAGGCGUUAAUCGGAAUUACUGGGCGUAAAGCGUGCGCAGGCGGUUUGCUAAGACAGGUGGGAAAUCCCCGGGCUUAACCUGGGAACUGCGCUUGUUACUGGCAGGCUUGAGUGUGGCAGAGGGGGGUGGAAUUCCACGUGUAGCAGUGAAAUGCGUAGAGAUGUGGAGGAACACCGAUGGCGAAGGCAGCCCCCUGGGCUAACACUGAUGCUCAUGCACGAAAGCGUGGGGAGCAAACAGG
Molecule: ribosomal RNA, 253 nt
Filed under: uncultured bacterium
Lineage: Bacteria
Description: partial 16S ribosomal RNA
Rfam family: Bacterial small subunit ribosomal RNA
Source: RNAcentral